This is a long non-coding RNA of Mauremys reevesii (Reeves's turtle), 1278 nucleotides long. RefSeq lists it as uncharacterized. The transcript is spliced from 5 exons. NCBI's taxonomy places the organism in Eukaryota, Metazoa, Chordata, Testudines, Geoemydidae. The record is from RefSeq and is a predicted model, not a curated record.
AGCUGUUGCCUAAUCAUAAGUGGGAGUGAUUCCAGCCUCAGUCAGCAGCAUACACCUCCUGGAGCUUGCAUGCUGAGGAACCACUGAUGAGCAAGCUUACCUGAAUCAGAUGAACAGCGGUGCUAUGAGAUUAUGGGUGAUCAGAAAUAAAAACUAAAAAAGAAGUGGCCCAUCACCAUUGCAAGCCAAAACUGUGCAUUAGUCAACUCUGAUGGCACCAUCUGCCUCAGUGGCCUGGAAUCUGGAAGAUCCUUCAUUCUGAGCAACUUGCAAAGAAACAAUCCAUAACACCUAAUCGGAUGAUGGACCUGAACCAAACCGCCAUAUCGGAACAGUGCUGAAUACAAAGCCAAAUUCUGAUCCAAAUAAUGGAGUGAGUCCCUAGCUCCACAGUGGUAUGAACAAAAUAAUUGGAUCCAAACACCCUUGAAUAUUGUGGUGGCUGACAUCUAGAUCCCAAAAUGUUGUGUUUAGUGACCAUGGAGGGAGAAAGAACUUGAGCUUUAAAGAAUCUUGAAGAUGUGUACUACCAGCUGUCUAUCUCUGACUGAGUGAGGAUCUAAUUGCUAUACCUUUUGCCUAUAUUAGGCCUGAUGCAAAGCCCAUCCAAGGAGCAUUCUGUUUGAACAGAGAGUGUGAAUAACAACAUUCUGUAGAGACGAGGUUUCAGUGUCACUGGACUGUUCACCCAACGCCUGUAUUAAAAUUGCUAAUUGUGAGCCCUUCUCUGCUGCUUCAGAGAGCUACACACAGAGGAGCUGGCAUCAGCUGGGGACAGCAAGAUCUUAGGCUCAGGGGUCUAGUGUUCUCCUGUUCUGUAUGCUGACUCACUGUUAGAGCAGGUGAACAUUUUCCCAAGUUUCAGACUUGGAUGAUAAAGUGUCACCAUCAUGACAGUUUGUGACAAUACUAUCCAAAUUUUCAACCAGCCCUACUUGUUCUACAAUCUCAACUAAGUCAUUGUCUGUGCCUUGCUUUAGCCAGCUGUAAAAAGAGGUUAAUACAGUUAUAAUUCAAAGGUGCUUGGUCUAUAUUAGAUAAUAACGGUAUUCUGCACAGAAUGAACUCCAACACCUAAAGCUGAGCUGUUUAUAUUAACAAUUUGAAAGUUAAAAGCAAAGCAAUGGAAUUUGUUAGCCCAGUAUAUGGUUAUUCCUGAGUUAACAGGAAGUACCCUCAAACAGCUAUUACACAAUACUAAUAUUUUUAAUUAAACUUUCCAAAUUAAAAUGAAAGAAAGGGGAAGAACUACAUAACCCAGAAUGGCUCUACAUCUGC